UUAUCGCGUUAAGGAUAGCAAUGGAAAUCCUUUUUUUUAUACUGAACUGGUUUCAGUAUCUCUUUUAAAAGAGCAGAAAGCUUAAGUAGAAAGAUGCUGAAAUUAAUUCAGCACAAGAAAAAAGAUUGAAAUGAAUAGCCUGUUAAAAC
Molecule: small RNA, 149 nt
Filed under: Polaribacter sp. SA4-12
Lineage: Bacteria; Pseudomonadati; Bacteroidota; Flavobacteriia; Flavobacteriales; Flavobacteriaceae
Description: Flavo-1 RNA
Rfam family: Flavo-1 RNA
Source: Rfam by way of RNAcentral